GGCGGGAACGUGCCAUCGACAAGAUGGAGGAAGGUGGGGAGUGACGUCAAGUCAUCAUGGCCCUUAUGUCCAGGGCGACACACGUGCUACAAUGGCCGGCACAGCGGGAAGCGAGGCAGUGAUGCCGAGCGGAUCCCUUAAAGACCGGUCUCAGUUCGGAUUGAAGUCUGCAACUCGACUUCAUGAAGCUGGAAUCGCUAGUAAUCGCAGAUCAGCCAAGCUGCGGUGAAUACGUUCCCGGGCCUU
Molecule: ribosomal RNA, 246 nt
Filed under: uncultured Thermanaerovibrio sp.
Lineage: Bacteria; Thermotogati; Synergistota; Synergistia; Synergistales; Synergistaceae
Description: partial 16S ribosomal RNA
Rfam family: Bacterial small subunit ribosomal RNA
Source: RNAcentral